RNAcentral lists this microRNA precursor (199 nucleotides) under Brachypodium distachyon (stiff brome). RNAcentral describes it as "MIR1435 microRNA precursor family". It matches the Rfam family "MIR1435 microRNA precursor family". Lineage: Eukaryota; Viridiplantae; Streptophyta; Magnoliopsida; Poales; Poaceae. The record is from Rfam by way of RNAcentral.
UAGCUUUGUCUCAAGUCAAACUUCUUAAAUUUUGACCAGGUUUAUAGAAGAAUCUACCAACAUCUACAACUCUAAAAUAGUUAUAUUAAAUCUGUCAUGAUAUAUAUCUACCACUAUACUUAUUUGACAUUGUAGAUAUUAGUACAUUUUUCUAUAAACUUGGUAAAACUUUAAGAAGUUUGACUUAGAUCAAAGCUAG